Molecule: ribosomal RNA, 508 nt
Filed under: Massilia sp.
Lineage: Bacteria; Pseudomonadati; Pseudomonadota; Betaproteobacteria; Burkholderiales; Oxalobacteraceae
Description: bacterial SSU rRNA
Rfam family: Bacterial small subunit ribosomal RNA
Source: RNAcentral
GUCGACGGCAGCGCGGGGCAACCUGGCGGCGAGUGGCGAACGGGUGAGUAAUAUAUCGGAACGUACCCAAGAGUGGGGGAUAACGUAGCGAAAGUUACGCUAAUACCGCAUACGAUCUAAGGAUGAAAGCAGGGGAUCUUCGGACCUUGUGCUCCUGGAGCGGCCGAUAUCUGAUUAGCUAGUUGGUGAGGUAAAGGCUCACCAAGGCCACGAUCAGUAGCUGGUCUGAGAGGACGACCAGCCACACUGGAACUGAGACACGGUCCAGACUCCUACGGGAGGCAGCAGUGGGGAAUUUUGGACAAUGGGCGAAAGCCUGAUCCAGCAAUGCCGCGUGAGUGAAGAAGGCCUUCGGGUUGUAAAGCUCUUUUGUCAGGGAAGAAACGGUUUGGGCUAAUAUCCUGAGCUAAUGACGGUACCUGAAGAAUAAGCACCGGCUAACUACGUGCCAGCAGCCGCGGUAAUACGUAGGGUGCAAGCGUUAAUCGGAAUUACUGGGCGUAAAGCG